ACGUUAUAUAGUACAAUUUUAAUUGAAACAUUUUUCUAUUGUACAUGUAUACAUAUGUAAAUUUUUUUUAAGUUAUACAUUUGGUUUUAAAUAUGUUUUAUUUGGACACUUCUAAUUUUCUAUAUGUGGGUGGCUGUUUUUUGGCUUCAGUAUGUGCCCUCUGUAUGUGUAGAAACCGUGAGUUGUUUCCUCAUAUAAGUGAAAACAAGUCUAUUGGUAAUUAAAUUUAACAUUAUUAGAAAAAUUAGUAUACAACACAUAAUCAGUAUAAUCAGUACGAUUUUUUUUUGUUAAUAUUUACAUUUACAUUUGCGUAUAUGUACAAACUUAUAUACAUAUAUAUAUAUAUAUACAUACAUAUAUAUUUAUAUAUAUACAAACUUAUAUACAUAUAUAUAUACAUACAUAUAUAUUUAUAUAUAUACAUACAUAUAUAUUUAUAUAUAUACAUACAUAUAUAUUUAUAUAUAUAUACAUAUAUAUUUAUAUAUAUGUAUAUAUUUUGUUUUUUUUAGGUCAUUUAUAUCGUCUCCUAAACAUCCAUAAAUAUGAAUCUUUCAAUAUAAUUGUUCAACUUCAUUUUUUAAAUUUGAAGUUUAGCGACGACAGUGCGAGUAAAUAUAUGGUUCAUAUAAAAGUUGGAAACAGAUACUCUUAUACCCAAUAUUGCAAACAGUAUAUGAAUAAAGUACACAUAGAGGAAAGAAAGAAUUUAUCAAUUAAGCAAAAUAAUACCACGUUGACAUUAGAGCUUUACAAAAAAGGGACAUUAAAAAAUACUUUUGUCGGCUCUGCAGAAAUUCAUAUAUAUAAUGAUAUUAUUCAAAAAUUAUUUCCAAAUAAUGUUUAUUUUAAUAUAUUAAAUAAAAAUCAAAUUGUUGCGACAAUAUGUAUGUCUUUUUAUUAUAUUAAUUUAGAUUGUAUAAAAAAGGAAGACCAAAUAUAUACUUCUCUUUUUAUUGAAACUAUAAUAUCUGUUCAAAAUAAUGAAUUAAAAAAUAACGAAAAAAUAGAACAGCUUAUAAAUGAAGGCAUGGAACCUUUCCAGGCUAUUAAACAAAUGGACAUUAGUUCAAUUAUAUAUAAAAACAUAUCGAGUCUAGCCAUUGAAGACAAAAUUCGCCUUUUCAGUAAAAUUCUGAAUGGAUUUCUGCUACAUAGCAAUUUUUACAUUAAACGAUUUUAUAACAAAUAUUAUUUUUAUUUGCAUUUUUUCAAGGGGAAGUUUUAUUGGUGUUACUAUGAUGAACAAGAUGAUGCAAAGGUUGAUAACAACAGAAUAGGGUACAUAAGACUUGAAUAUGUAAUAAACGUAUACAGCGAUGUACAUAGUCAUAAAUACUUUUACAUAAAAUAUAAAAAAAAAGGAGAAAGAAAAGAAAAUUAUAUGUAUUUAAAGACAAUGGAUAGAGAUAGAAAUAUAUGGGUAAACAUUAUUCAUGAUUUUAUUAUAUUGAUAAGCAAUUAUAAAAAAGAAAAAAAAAAAAAAAAAAAAAUGAAGUAAAAGAACUUACAAAUGGUGAUAUAGAAAAAAAUAAAGGUCCAAAAGAAGGUUUAAAAGAAGGUUUA
This is a long non-coding RNA of Piliocolobus tephrosceles (Ugandan red Colobus), 1569 nucleotides long. The record is from Ensembl. NCBI's taxonomy places the organism in Eukaryota, Metazoa, Chordata, Mammalia, Primates, Cercopithecidae.